CUAACUGGAGGACCGAACCGACUAAUGUUGAAAAAUUAGCGGAUGACUUGUGGCUGGGGGUGAAAGGCCAAUCAAACCGGGAGAUAGCUGGUUCUCCCCGAAAGCUAUUUAGGUAGCGCCUCGUGAAUUCAUCUUCGGGGGUAGAGCACUGUUUCGGCUAGGGGGUCAUCCCGACUUACCAACCCGAUGCAAACUACGAAUACCGAAGAAUGUUAUCACGGGAGACACACGGCGGGUGCUAACGUCCGUCGUGAAGAGGGAAACAACCCAGACCGCCAGCUAAGGUCCCAAAGUCAUGGUUAAGUGGGAAACGAUGUGGGAAGGCACAGACAGCCAGGAUGUUGGCUUAGAAGCAGCCAUCAUUUAAAGAAAGCGUAAUAGCUCACUGGUCGAGUCGGCCUGCGCGGAAGAUGUAACGGGGCUAAACCAUGCACCGAAGCUGCGGCAGCGACACUAUGUGUUGUUGGGUAGGGGAGCGUUCUGUAAGCCUGCGAAGGUGACCUGUGAGGGUUGCUGGAGGUAUCAGAAGUGCGAAUGCUGACAUAAGUAACGAUAAAGCGGGUGAAAAGCCCGCUCGCCGGAAGACCAAGGGUUCCUGUCCAACGUUAAUCGGGGCAGGGUGAGUCGACCCCUAAGGCGAGGCCGAAAGGCGUAGUCGAUGGGAAACAGGUUAAUAUUCCUGUACUUGGUGUUACUGCGAAGGGGGGACGGAGAAGGCUAUGUUAGCCGGGCGACGGUUGUCCCGGUUUAAGCAUGUAGGCUGGUUGUCCAGGCAAAUCCGGAUAAUCAAGGCUGAGGUGUGAUGACGAGGCACUACGGUGCUGAAGUAACAAAUGCCCUGCUUCCAGGAAAAGCCUCUAAGCAUCAGGUAACAUCAAAUCGUACCCCAAACCGACACAGGUGGUCAGGUAGAGAAUACCAAGGCGCUUGAGAGAACUCGGGUGAAGGAACUAGGCAAAAUGGUGCCGUAACUUCGGGAGAAGGCACGCUGGUGUGUAGGUGAAGUCCCUGCGGGUGGAGCUGAGACCAGUCGAAGAUACCAGCUGGCUGCAACUGUUUAUUAAAAACACAGCACUGUGCAAACACGAAAGUGGACGUAUACGGUGUGACGCCUGCCCGGUGCCGGAAGGUUAAUUGAUGGG
RNAcentral lists this ribosomal RNA (1142 nucleotides) under Klebsiella pneumoniae. RNAcentral describes it as "partial 23S ribosomal RNA". It matches the Rfam family "Bacterial large subunit ribosomal RNA", at positions 762 to 1888 of the family's 2925-position model. Lineage: Bacteria; Pseudomonadati; Pseudomonadota; Gammaproteobacteria; Enterobacterales; Enterobacteriaceae. The record is from RNAcentral.